GUCUAAGUAUAAGCAACUAUACUGUGAAACUGCGAAUGGCUCAUUAAAUCAGUUAUCGUUUAUUUGAUAGUACCUUACUACUUGGAUAACCGUGGUAAUUCUAGAGCUAAUACAUGCGAAAAACCCCGACUUCGGAAGGGGUGUAUUUAUUAGAUAAAAAACCAAUGCCCUUCGGGGCUUCCUGGUGAUUCAUAAUAACUAAACGAAUCGCAUGGCCUUGCGCCGGCGAUGGUUCAUUCAAAUUUCUGCCCUAUCAACUUUCGAUUGUAGAGUAGUGGUCUACAAUGGUUUCAACGGGUAACGGGGAAUUAGGGUUCGACUCCGGAGAGGGAGCCUGAGAAACGGCUACCACAUCCAAGGAAGGCAGCAGGCGCGCAAAUUACCCAAUCCCGACACGGGGAGGUAGUGACAAUAAAUACUGAUACAGGGCUCUUUUGGGUCUUGUAAUUGGAAUGAGUACAAUUUAAAUCCCUUAACGAGGAACAACUGGAGGGCAAGUCUGGUGCCAGCAGCCGCGGUAAUUCCAGCUCCAGAAGCGUAUAUUAAAGUUGUUGCAGUUAAAAAGCUCGUAGUUGAAUUUUGGGCCUGGCUGGCCGGUCCGCCUCACCGCGUGCACUGGUCCGGCCGGGCCUUUCCUCCUGGGGAUCCGCAUGCCCUUCACUGGGUGUGUUGGGGAACCAGGACUUUUACUUUGAAAAAAUUAGAGUGUUCAAAGCAGGCCUUUGCUCGAAUACAUUAGCAUGGAAUAAUAGAAUAGGACGGCUUUCCUAUUUUGUUGGUUUCUAGGGGAGCCGUAAUGAUUAAUAGGGAUAGUCGGGGGCAUCAGUAUUCAAUUGUCAGAGGUGAAAUUCUUGGAUUUAUUGAAGACUAACUACUGCGAAAGCAUUUGCCAAGGAUGUUUUCAUUAAUCAGUGAACGAAAGUUAGGGGAUCGAAGACGAUCAGAUACCGUCGUAGUCUUAACCAUAAACUAUGCCGACUAGGGAUCGGGCGAUGUUACUAUCUUGACUCGCUCGGCACCUUACGAGAAAUCAAAGUUUUUGGGUUCUGGGGGGAGUAUGUCGCAAG
RNAcentral lists this ribosomal RNA (1067 nucleotides) under Venturia convolvularum. RNAcentral's name for it is "SSU rRNA". It matches the Rfam family "Eukaryotic small subunit ribosomal RNA", at positions 57 to 1135 of the family's 1831-position model. Lineage: Eukaryota; Fungi; Ascomycota; Dothideomycetes; Venturiales; Venturiaceae. The record is from RNAcentral.